AAGGUUGACCUCGGAUCAGGUAGGAAUACCCGCUGAACUUAAGCAUAUCAAUAAGCGGAGGAAAAGAAACCAACAGGGAUUGCCUCAGUAACGGCGAGUGAAGCGGCAACAGCUCAAAUUUGAAAUCUGGCCCCCAGGCCCGAGUUGUAAUUUGUAGAGGAUGAUUCUGGCGACGCGCCUUCCGAGUUCCCUGGAACGGGACGCCAUAGAGGGUGAGAGCCCCGUCCGGUCGUGCGCCUAGCCUCUGUGAAUCUCCUUCGACGAGUCGAGUAGUUUGGGAAUGCUGCUCUAAAUGGGAGGUAUACGUCUUCUAAAGCUAAAUACCGGCCAGAGACCGAUAGCGCACAAGUAGAGUGAUCGAAAGAUGAAAAGCACUUUGAAAAGAGGGUUAAAAAGUACGUGAAAUUGCUGAAAGGGAAGCGCUUAUGACCAGACUUGGGCGUGGUGAAUCAUCCGGCGUUCUCGCCGGUGCACUUUGCCUGUCCAGGCCAGCAUCAGUUCUCCCCGGGGGAUAAAGGCUUCGGGAAUGUAGCUCCUUCGGGAGUGUUAUAGACCGUU
RNAcentral lists this ribosomal RNA (558 nucleotides) under Geosmithia lavendula. RNAcentral describes it as "eukaryotic LSU rRNA". It matches the Rfam family "Eukaryotic large subunit ribosomal RNA", at positions 1 to 565 of the family's 3401-position model. The record is from RNAcentral. Lineage: Eukaryota; Fungi; Ascomycota; Sordariomycetes; Hypocreales; Bionectriaceae.